Molecule: ribosomal RNA, 515 nt
Filed under: uncultured cyanobacterium
Lineage: Bacteria; Bacillati; Cyanobacteriota
Description: bacterial SSU rRNA
Rfam family: Bacterial small subunit ribosomal RNA
Source: RNAcentral
UGGGGAAUUUUCCGCAAUGGGCGAAAGCCUGACGGAGCAAUACCGCGUGAGGGACGACGGCCUUGGGGUUGUAAACCUCUUUUAUCAAGGAGGAAGUUCUGACGUGUACUUGAUGAAUAAGCAUCGGCUAACUCCGUGCCAGCAGCCGCGGUAAGGCGGAGGAUGCAAGUGUUGUCCGGAAUCACUGGGCGUAAAGCGUCUGUAGGUGGUUUAAAAAGUCUGCUGUUAAAAGUUGAAGCUUAACUUCAAAGAUGCCGUAGAAACUUUUUAAACUUGAGGAUGGUAGGGGUAGAGGGAAUUUCCAGUGGAGCGGUGAAAUGCGUAGAUCUUGGAAAGACCACCAAUGGCGAAGGCACUCUACUGGGGCCAUUACUGACACUGAGAGACGAAAGCUAGGGGAGCAAAUGGGAUUAGAUACCCCAGUAGUCCUAGCUGUAAACGAUGGGAUACUAGAUGUUGCGUGUAUUGACCCAUGCAGUAUCGUAGCUAACGCGUUAAGUAUCCCGCCUGGGAAG